CUGUGACUCCUACGGGAGGCAGCAGUGGGGAAUAUUGCACAAUGGGCGCAAGCCUGAUGCAGCAACGCCGUGUGAGUGAAGAAGGUUUCGGAUCGUAAAACUCUGUCCUAAGGGAAGAAACAAAUGACGGUACCUUAGGAGGAAGCCCCGGCUAACUACGUGCCAGCAGCCGCGGUAAUACGUAGGGGGCAAGCGUUAUCCGGAAUCACUGGGCGUAAAGGGUGCGUAGGCGGCUUAGCAAGCCAGGGGUGAAAGGCAUUGGCUCAACCAAUGUAAGCCUUUGGAACUGUUAAGCUUGAGUGCAGGAGAGGUAAGUGGAAUUCCUAGUGUAGAGGUGAAAAUUCGUAGAUAUUAGGAGGAACACCAGUGGCGAAGGCGACUUACUGGACUGUAACUGACGCUGAUGCACGAAAGCGUGGGUAGCGAACAGGAUUAGAUACCCUGUAG
This 447-nucleotide ribosomal RNA is filed under the name uncultured bacterium. Its description in RNAcentral is "bacterial SSU rRNA". It matches the Rfam family "Bacterial small subunit ribosomal RNA", at positions 330 to 793 of the family's 1533-position model. The record is from RNAcentral.